RNAcentral lists this long non-coding RNA (1047 nucleotides) under Anolis carolinensis (green anole). Its description in RNAcentral is "lncRNA (ENSACAG00000038378.1)". The record is from RNAcentral. Lineage: Eukaryota; Metazoa; Chordata; Lepidosauria; Squamata; Anolidae.
CAUAGUGGUUUGGUUGAAUGAAAUGGCAUUUCAUAACAUGCAGCACAGCACCAUCUGCUGGCUUAACAAUGGGCCAUAGACUAUCAGGAAAACACAUCUUGUGUCUCAACCAAGCAUCCAGGUUAAUAAAACUUUGCCCAAGUUCACAUGGUAUCUUUCCUAGAGUCAGUAAAUGAAAGCCAAUGAAAAUAUUGUGUUGUCGAAGGCUUUCAUGGCCGGGAUCACAGGGUUGUUGCAUGUUUUCCGAGCUGUAUGUCCAUGUUCCAGAAGUAUUCUUCUGUGCUUGGAGCCUGGAGCAACGUCAAUACCAGACAAUUUCACCUUAUGUCUGGAGGCUCUGUCGAACUGGUUACGUGCUAGUAGACUGAAGGUGAACCUGGCGAAGACUGAGAUUCUCUGGCAUGGCCGCUCGACUGGUCUGACCCAUUUGCUACCCACCUUCGAUGGUGCUGCCCUAUCUCCUUCGCCUUCCGUUAAGAGGCUGGGUGUCAUUUUGGAUUUGCAGCUGACAAUGGAAGCUCAGGCAGUUAGCAAACAGGCCUUUUUCCAUCUACGACAAGCGAGGCAACUGGCACCCUAUCUAUCUGAUGAGGCUCUGGCAACAGUCAUCCAUGCCACGGUCACAUCUAGGCUGGACUAUUGCAACGCCCUGUAUGUUGGGCUUCCGAUGUCCACGACCCGAAAGCUCCGUAUUGUUCAGAAUGCGGCAGCCAGGCUACUCACAAGAACACCCAUGAAAUGCCACAUAACACCAGUGCUGCAGCAUCUGCAUUGGCUUCCAACUGAUUACCGUGGUCUAUAUAAGAUGCUAGUUCUGACCUUUAAUACUCUUUACGGCCAGGGCCCAUCGUACCUUAGGGACCGUCUCUCCUUCUCCCAUCAUCGGAGGUCGCAACGACCAUCCCAGCGUGACUUACUUUAUGUACCAGGUCCUAGAGAAGUGCACUUGGAAAGGACCAGGCGCAGAGCUUUUUCUAUUUCUGCCCCUGCCUUAUGGAAUGCCUUGCCGCCCCAUAUGAGAGCCAUGCGUGAGUUAGGGCCUUUUAC